RNAcentral lists this ribosomal RNA (578 nucleotides) under uncultured Pseudomonadota bacterium. RNAcentral describes it as "bacterial SSU rRNA". It matches the Rfam family "Bacterial small subunit ribosomal RNA", at positions 97 to 651 of the family's 1533-position model. Lineage: Bacteria; Pseudomonadati; Pseudomonadota. The record is from RNAcentral.
GGCGGACGGGUGAGUAAUACAUAGGUAAUCUACCUUCGAGCUUGGGAUAACCCCGCGAAAGUGGGGCUAAUACCGGAUAAGACCACGUAACCAUGUUACGGGGUAAAAGGUGGCUUAUUUUUUAAAUGAGCUAUCACUUGAGGAUGAGCCUGUGGCCUAUCAGCUUGUUGGCGGGGUAAGAGCCCACCAAGGCUAUGACGGGUAACUGGUCUGAGAGGACGACCAGUCACACUGGGACUGAGACACGGCCCAGACUCCUACGGGAGGCAGCAGUGGGGAAUAUUGGGCAAUGGGCGAAAGCCUGACCCAGCGACGCCGCGUGGGCGAUGAAGGCCUUCGGGUUGUAAAGCCCUGUCAUGCGGAAAGAACGACCCUGAGACGCAUACUCUCAGGGAGUGACGGUACCGCAGGAGGAAGCACCGGCUAACUCCGUGCCAGCAGCCGCGGUAAUACGGAGGGUGCAAGCGUUGUUCGGAAUUAUUGGGCGUAAAGGGCGCGUAGGCGGUAAUGCAAGUCAGAUGUGAAAUACUCCGGCUCAACUGGGGAACUGCAUCUGAAACUGCAUAACUAGAGUACAG